This 489-nucleotide ribosomal RNA is filed under the name uncultured bacterium. RNAcentral's name for it is "partial 16S ribosomal RNA". It matches the Rfam family "Bacterial small subunit ribosomal RNA", at positions 28 to 507 of the family's 1533-position model. The record is from RNAcentral.
GAUGAACGCUCGCUACAGGCUUAACACAUGCAAGUCGAGGGGCAGCAUGAACUUAGCUUGCUAAGUUUGAUGGCGACCGGCGCACGGGUGAGUAACACGUAUCCAACCUGCCGAUGACUCGGGGAUAGCCUUUCGAAAGAAAGAUUAAUACCCGAUGGCAUAGUUCUUCCGCAUGGUAGAACUAUUAAAGAAUUUCGGUCAUCGAUGGGGAUGCGUUCCAUUAGGUUGUUGGCGGGGUAACGGCCCACCAAGCCUUCGAUGGAUAGGGGUUCUGAGAGGAAGGUCCCCCACAUUGGAACUGAGACACGGUCCAAACUCCUACGGGAGGCAGCAGUGAGGAAUAUUGGUCAAUGGACGAGAGUCUGAACCAGCCAAGUAGCGUGAAGGAUGACUGCCCUAUGGGUUGUAAACUUCUUUUAUACGGGAAUAAAGUGAGGCACGGGUGCCUUUUUGUAUGUACCGUAUGAAUAAGAAUCGGCUAACUCCGUG